Molecule: long non-coding RNA, 242 nt
Filed under: Homo sapiens (human)
Lineage: Eukaryota; Metazoa; Chordata; Mammalia; Primates; Hominidae
Description: non-protein coding lnc-TNFRSF21-2:1
Source: RNAcentral
CUUUGGUUAUUUUCAAUUUUUUAAAUUUCUUUCUUUUUUUUUUUUUUUUUUUUUUUUUUUACUAUUUUAGCAGGGCUGGAAUGAGCAUCCUUAAAUUUGUAUCCCUGUGUACUUAUGGAAGAGUUUCCUUAAGCAUAUGUACCUAAAAGUGGCACUGCUGGAUUAGGGAAUGAACAUAUUUAGUUUCAGCAGAUAUUUCCAAUUGGUCUCCAAAUUGUUUGUACUUUACAUUCUUAUACUCA